UGUACACUCUGUGACACAUUUCUUCUUCUCUUGAUGGUCUUCAAUAAAUGCCUCUGUCCGCCCAAAAACCCCUCGUUCGCAAACUCCCAUCUGUCUGGAUCAAUUUUUCUAAAUCCCUGCAUCCAUUUCCGAAGGUCUAGUUAAAUAAUCAAAUCAAAAGUAAAAAUGAAAGCCAUAAAGUAAUGAUAGCAAUCAAAUUCCUAAAACCGGGGAGGCUAUUUCUAUAAUUGAAAAUGAAAAAGAAAAGCAACUGAUACUCACAUAGGUAUUGAGCUGGCGAAUGAAGCUGGAGAAGUUACUGUGCUUGAAGUAGCGAGGAAGAAUGGUGGUCGAGAACUUGUGGGAGUCCCAGACUAUGAAGCUGUUACGAGCAAGGCUCCAAGAAACAACAGGGUCGGUGGACGGGUCUUCCACCAUUUCAAAUGUCUUGGUGAGAAAUGGAGGAGGCCCCAUCUCGUGCAGCCCUUCCAUUGGGCGAGGAGAGAGACUUGAAGGGGAAGAGGAAGCUGAAGACGACGAACCAGCUACCAUUUCUUCCACUUUCACUCUCACUGUCUCCAUACCACAGGUUGCAGAGAAGAAUCAGAAAGAGCGAAGUCCAACAGCAAAGGCAAGUAGCCGUAAUAUGUUUGAUCAGUUGAAGAGUUUUGUUUUGGCUCUUAUUUCUUGAUAACUAGAGAGAGAUGAUGCGUUUUAGGCGGUAGAAAAGAAGAUUCUAGAGACGGAAAAGGGAGAGAAAUAUCUGGUAGGUGUUCAUUUUUAUUCCCUGAUUCCGCCAUUUGUCCCUCUGACGUGGCAUCAGAUUCUGUCUCUCACGAAAAGUUCUGGAAACUUCUCCUCUCUUGGGCUUCUAUCCAGAUUCCUAGCGGAAUUUGCAAUAUGGGCAUUCCCAUUAUUGUAAACUAGGUGGGCUCUCAGACAAAAACGACCAGGCACAAUGAAACCUCAUUGGGCUCGCACAGUGAAAUAACAGGCAAGUCGUCCUAGCCCACGAGGCCCGAUUGAGAAUAAGGCUCAUCAAAGCCCAAGUCUCGAACUUAGGUCCUAAAUAACUAGAAAUUUCAUGAAAUCAAGUUUAUUUUUCUGUCAUCUAUCAUCUAUCAUCUAUGUGUGUACAUGUAUAUAUAUGUAAAAGGCAUAUCGUUGUUACUAUUUAUCUGCAGUUGAAUGAAAGGUAACAACGAUGUGAGCCAAUAUUUUGUAUGUUGAAAUAUCAUGUGUUGUUGUUGUUAAAGUAUCAGGCCUCAUAGUAGGAAAAAAAUAAAUGCAGGGUUCAUGGUGUAA
Long non-coding RNA from Prosopis cineraria, 1284 nucleotides. RefSeq lists it as uncharacterized. The transcript is spliced from 2 exons. The record is from RefSeq and is a predicted model, not a curated record. NCBI's taxonomy places the organism in Eukaryota, Viridiplantae, Streptophyta, Magnoliopsida, Fabales, Fabaceae.